ACAUAAGCUCUGCAGGAGGCUGCUGCCAAACCUGAAGACCGGAUUUGAUGAAAUUGGGUGGAAGGAGAGAACUGACUGCUACAAGUUGUCCUCUGGCCUUUUUACACACAGGUUGUUGCAAGUGUGAGGCCUGUGCACAUGCAUGUGCACUAGUGUUGUAUCAUCGUGUAUCCUUAGAAAAAGAAGAGCUCAUAGUACUCAUGGGAGGCAAGUUGCAGAGUAUGCUAAGGUAGCAUACUGGCACUCUAUCACACUAGAGAGAUUCAUUCUGCCUUACAGUUAAGAGUUCCCUGAACCUCCAGGAGGAAGGACUCAUGGAGACAUCCCAUUUGGGGCUGAGUGUUCCAAGUCACUGUAUACUUGCUCCUUCUGGCCAUGUGAUGCUUUCUGCCACAUUAUGAUGCAAUAAGAAAUCCUGCAAGAUCAGACUUCCCAGCCUUCACGACUGUCAACCAAAUAAACAUCUAUU
Long non-coding RNA from Mus musculus (house mouse), 469 nucleotides. RefSeq annotates it as predicted gene, 41898. The record is from RefSeq and is a predicted model, not a curated record. Lineage: Eukaryota; Metazoa; Chordata; Mammalia; Rodentia; Muridae. The transcript has 4 exons.